UUUGCACCAAUUUGUAAGUCGCUCUGGAUAAGAGCGUCUGCUAAAUUACGUAAA
Molecule: non-coding RNA, 54 nt
Organism: Salmo salar (Atlantic salmon)
Lineage: Eukaryota; Metazoa; Chordata; Actinopteri; Salmoniformes; Salmonidae
Source: Rfam